GCCGACGUUGAGGAUUGGAGAUCUCAGCGAUUUCAUAGCACCGUCUCAGGCUUGUGUCGUCUCUUUAAAGGGAUUGAAAUCAAACACAAUGAAACCUGAUAAAUAGGAUGUUUCAAUUGCUAAGAAUCAGCAAACUGAACCCGUUAAAAUCUCGCUCAAGGACUGUUUGGCAUGCAGGCCGGACAAGGUUUACCAUGUCACUGUGAUGCCUUGUUAUGAUAAGAAGCUUGAGGUUGCAAGGGGAUGACUUUGUUUUUGAAGUGGGCCGGACAAGGUUUUAGUAGCAGAUCCCUUUGAGAAUCCUCUUGUUAAAGGCUUUUAUGAUGAGUGGCUUGAAGUACCUGGCUCAGAGACGGCUAAGAAAUUCUUUCACACAGCAAUUCUUGCACACAGCAUAUCAUCCUGUGGUUCAGAGCGUAACUGCUCGGUUACAUAACUGGUAACACUGGUUCCUAUGUCUGAUCCCACACAAAAUAUCAGAACUUCCCUAUGCUGUCAGUCCUUGGGCUUGUUUUCUCUAAGGUAUUUUUGCAGUCUCACGGAUAAUCUAUCAUCACUGGUUCAUUGCUUGCUCAUCAUUUUGCAGUGGAGUUCAGUUUUGGUAGUGUUAACAGAUUUAUUAUUGUACCAUGUUCUACUAAUAUAUAUGCUCUAUGCUAGAGGCCUUUUAGAUAGGAGGAAAAAUUGGUUAUAUGACAAAUGUAACCCAUCAUUAUUUUUU
Molecule: unclassified non-coding RNA, 721 nt
Filed under: Hevea brasiliensis (rubber tree)
Lineage: Eukaryota; Viridiplantae; Streptophyta; Magnoliopsida; Malpighiales; Euphorbiaceae
Source: RNAcentral